Molecule: transfer RNA, 65 nt
Filed under: Torleya nepalica
Lineage: Eukaryota; Metazoa; Arthropoda; Insecta; Ephemeroptera; Ephemerellidae
Description: tRNA-Leu
Source: RNAcentral
AUUACUUUGGCAGAAAAGUGCACUAGAUUUAGAAUCUAGGUAUGAGUUACGCAACUCAAGUAAUA